This is a non-coding RNA of Epinephelus lanceolatus (giant grouper), 248 nucleotides long. Lineage: Eukaryota; Metazoa; Chordata; Actinopteri; Perciformes; Serranidae. The record is from RefSeq and is a predicted model, not a curated record.
CACACAGACACCAGGACAGACGAGGAAGAAAUGAGCAGCGUCUUCUCUCCCAGUGUUUCCUCCACACAUGAAGGUGGAAAGUGUCUGUAAGUCGACCUGAGGUGUGGACUCUGCUAUGAAUCAGGCUGAGGACAGAGAGGAGGGAGUCCCUCCCUCUAAAACCACUCUGUGUGGGGAACAUGACAGCCAGACCAAAGCUCAGAGGUCAGACUCUCCUGUGUCCAGCUGUGUGUCCUUUAACAGUGACC